RNAcentral lists this ribosomal RNA (253 nucleotides) under uncultured bacterium. RNAcentral describes it as "partial 16S ribosomal RNA". It matches the Rfam family "Bacterial small subunit ribosomal RNA", at positions 524 to 776 of the family's 1533-position model. The record is from RNAcentral.
UACGGAGGGUGCAAGCGUUAUCCGGAUUCACUGGGUUUAAAGGGUGCGUAGGUGGGCAGGUAAGUCAGUGGUGAAAUCUCCGGGCUUAACUCGGAAACUGCCAUUGAUACUAUCAGUCUUGAAUACCGUGGAGGUAAGCGGAAUAUGUCAUGUAGCGGUGAAAUGCUUAGAUAUGACAUAGAACACUAAUUGCGAAGGCAGCUUACUACCCGAAUAUUGACACUGAGGCACGAAAGCGUGGGGAUCAAACAGG